This is a long non-coding RNA of Ipomoea nil (Japanese morning glory), 342 nucleotides long. RefSeq lists it as uncharacterized. The transcript has 4 exons. NCBI's taxonomy places the organism in Eukaryota, Viridiplantae, Streptophyta, Magnoliopsida, Solanales, Convolvulaceae. The record is from RefSeq and is a predicted model, not a curated record.
AAUUUGGACAUAUCCAAUGUGUCUGUGUUGUACAAUGUUGAUGAGCCAACUGCACGGAGCCUUAAUGGAUGCAGGGUUGCUGAUAAAAUUCUCAAGCUUGUUCCAAAUGUUGAGAAUUUCAGGACAACUCUACAAUGUGUGAAGUUUUGGGCUAAUAAACGUGGCAUUUAUUCAAAUAUGAUUUGAUUUCUUGGAGGUAUAAAUUGGGCUCUUCUUGUUGCUCGAGUGUGUCAACUGUAUCCCAAUGCAUCUCCUAGUAUGCUCGUUUCUCGGUUCUACCGGGUUUAUACUCUGUGAAGAUGGUCAAAUCCCUUGAUGCUUUGUGAAAUAGAGGAUUUUGAG